AUUGAACGCUGGCGGCAUGCUUUACACAUGCGAGUCGAACGGUAACAGGUUAAGCUGACGAGUGGCGAACGGGUGAGUAAUGCAUCGGAACGUGCCCGAUCGUGGGGGAUAACGCAGCGAAAGCUGCGCUAAUACCGCAUACGAUCUGAGGAUGAAAGCGGGGGACCGUAAGGCCUCGCGCGAUCGGAGCGGCCGAUGUCAGAUUAGGUAGUUGGUGGGGUAAAGGCCCACAAAGCCGACGAUCUGUAGCUGGUCUGAGAGGACGACCAGCCAUACUGGGACUGAGACACGGCCCAGACUCCUACGGGAGGCAGCAGUGGGGAAUUUUGGACAAUGGGCGAAAGCCUGAUCCAGCAAUGCCGCGUGCAGGAAGAAGGCCUUCGGGUUGUAAACUGCUUUUGUACGGAGCGAAAAGGUCCUUUCUAAUACAAGGGGCUCAUGACGGUACCGUAAGAAUAAGCACCGGCUAACUACGUGCCAGCAGCCGCCGUAA
Molecule: ribosomal RNA, 493 nt
Filed under: uncultured bacterium
Lineage: Bacteria
Description: partial 16S ribosomal RNA
Rfam family: Bacterial small subunit ribosomal RNA
Source: RNAcentral